RNAcentral lists this ribosomal RNA (757 nucleotides) under uncultured archaeon. RNAcentral's name for it is "bacterial SSU rRNA". It matches the Rfam family "Archaeal small subunit ribosomal RNA", at positions 102 to 859 of the family's 1478-position model. The record is from RNAcentral.
GGAUAACCUACCCUUAGGACCGGGAUAACCCUGGGAAACUGGGGAUAAUACUGGAUAGGCAAUUUUUCCUGUAAUGGUUUUUUGUUUAAAUGUUUUUUCGCCUAAGGAUGGGUCUGCGGCCGAUUAGGUAGUUGGUUAGGUAAUGGCUUACCAAGCCGUUGAUCGGUACGGGUUGUGAGAGCAAGAGCCCGGAGAUGGAACCUGAGACAAGGUUCCAGGCCCUACGGGGUGCAGCAGGCGCGAAACCUCCGCAAUGUGAGAAAUCGCGACGGGGGGAUCCCAAGUGCCAUUCUUAACGGGAUGGCUUUUCAUUAGUGUAAAGAGCUUUUGGAAUAAGGGCUGGGCAAGACCGGUGCCAGCCGCCGCGGUAACACCGGCAGCUCUAGUGGUAGCAGUUUUUAUUGGGCCUAAAGCGUCCGUAGCCGGUUUAAUAAGUCUCUGGUGAAAUCCUGUAGCUUAACUGUGGGAAUUGCUGGAGAUACUAUUAGACUUGAGACCGGGAGAGGUUAGAGGUACUCCCAGGGUAGAGGUGAAAUUCUGUAAUCCUGGGAGGACCGCCUGUUGCGAAGGCGUCUAACUGGAACGGUUCUGACGGUGAGGGACGAAAGUUAGGGGCGCGAACCGGAUUAGAUACCCGGGUAGUCCUAACUGUAAACGAUGCGGACUUGGUGUUGGGGUGGCUUUGAGCUGCUCCAGUGCCGAAGGGAAGCUGUUAAGUCCGCCGCCUGGGAAGUACGGUCGCAAGACUGAAACUUAA